UACGAAGGGGGCUAGCGUUGCUCGGAAUUACUGGGCGUAAAGGGCGCGUAGGCGGACAGUUUAGUCAGAGGUAAAAGCCCAGGGCUCAACCUUGGAACUGCCUUUGAUACUGACUGUCUUGAGUUCGGGAGAGGUGAGUGGAAUGCCGAGUGUAGAGGUGAAAUUCGUAGAUAUUCGGCGGAACACCAGUGGCGAAGGCGAGUCCCUGGACAACACCUGACACUGAGGCACGAAAGCUAGGGGAGCAAACAGG
This 253-nucleotide ribosomal RNA is filed under the name uncultured bacterium. Its description in RNAcentral is "partial 16S ribosomal RNA". It matches the Rfam family "Bacterial small subunit ribosomal RNA", at positions 524 to 776 of the family's 1533-position model. The record is from RNAcentral.